AUACGUAGGGGGCGAGCGUUGUCCGGAAUGAUUGGGCGUAAAGGGCGCGUAGGCGGCCCGGUAAGUCUGGAGUGAAAGUCCUGUUUUUAAGAUGGGAAUUGCUUUGGAUACUGUCGGGCUUGAGUGCAGGAGAGGUAAGUGGAAUUCCCAGUGUAGCGGUGAAAUGCGUAGAGAUUGGGAGGAACACCAGUGGCGAAGGCGACUUACUGGACUGUAACUGACGCUGAGGCGCGAAAGUGUGGGGAGCGAACAGGAUUAGAUACCCUGGUAGUCCACACUGUAAACGAUGAAUGCUAGGUGUAAGAGGUAUCGACCCCUUUUGUGCCGGAGUCAACACAAUAAGCAUUCCGCCUGGGGAGUACGGCCGCAAGGUUGAAACUCAAAGGAAUUGACGGGG
This 397-nucleotide ribosomal RNA is filed under the name uncultured bacterium. RNAcentral's name for it is "partial 16S ribosomal RNA". It matches the Rfam family "Bacterial small subunit ribosomal RNA", at positions 523 to 918 of the family's 1533-position model. The record is from RNAcentral.